Molecule: ribosomal RNA, 497 nt
Filed under: uncultured bacterium
Lineage: Bacteria
Description: partial 16S ribosomal RNA
Rfam family: Bacterial small subunit ribosomal RNA
Source: RNAcentral
GAUGAACGCUGGCGGCGUGCCUAAUACAUGCAAGUCGAGCGAACAGAUGAGGAGCUUGCUCCUCUGACGUUAGCGGCGGACGGGUGAGUAACACGUGGAUAACCUACCUAUAAGACUGGGAUAACUUCGGGAAACCGGAGCUAAUACCGGAUAAUAUAUUGAACCGCAUGGUUCAAUAGUGAAAGACGGUUUUGCUGUCACUUAUAGAUGGAUCCGCGCCGCAUUAGCUAGUUGGUAAGGUAACGGCUUACCAAGGCAACGAUGCGUAGCCGACCUGAGAGGGUGAUCGGCCACACUGGAACUGAGACACGGUCCAGACUCCUACGGGAGGCAGCAGUAGGGAAUCUUCCGCAAUGGGCGAAAGCCUGACGGAGCAACGCCGCGUGAGUGAUGAAGGUCUUCGGAUCGUAAAACUCUGUUAUUAGGGAAGAACAAAUGUGUAAGUAACUAUGCACGUCUUGACGGUACCUAAUCAGAAAGCCACGGCUAACAACGUG